Columba livia (rock pigeon) is the source of this 1439-nucleotide long non-coding RNA. RefSeq lists it as uncharacterized. The transcript has 2 exons. The record is from RefSeq and is a predicted model, not a curated record. Lineage: Eukaryota; Metazoa; Chordata; Aves; Columbiformes; Columbidae.
UUAGUUGGAAGACAAUCCAAAUGCAAAACACAAUGCUUCUAAAAACUGUCCCAUAGAUUGCCAAGCAUCUUAUAAAGCCUGGCCAUGGGCUUAACUAUAUCAAAAUCAUACGGAUGCUUUUUGUCAAAAUCAUUCUAAACCAAGAAGGCAGCAAGCAGCUUACAACCCAGAAGUGUCACAGAUGUACUUGCAAAUGUUUGUCCGUAAUUCUGUUGAUUCCAGACUGCAAGUCCAGGAGGGACUGUCAGAUCCUGUGUGCUGAUCGCUGCAUGCUGCCAUCCACUGCACUGCACGCAGAGCCACAACUGGGUCCUGCAGCUCGAGCUGGGUUUUGGCAUUCAGUGCUGAGGAGGCUGAGCAGCCUCAAGCAGAGGCUCACCCAGCCCAGGGCUGUGGCCGGCAGAGAAAUGCUGAGGGGAUAGAUGCCUAGAAGCAAAAUCGUGAUCCCUGGGGCAGAGGAAGACAAGACCUCUAUAGUCAUUGGCAUUUUCACUUGGACAGAAACUUCUUCCUCACCUCAAACCUGGUGAAACACACACACCGCGGACAAAGGUGAGCAGAGCAUAGCUAGAAAUGUCGAUGGAUGCUUCAGGGUACCGCUCCGCAGCGCAUGCCCCGCGCCUCGCCCCGUGCGUGUGAAAGGAACAGCCCCGGGACCAGAAUUACCACCGGAGGCCCUGUGCCUGUCCCCUGCCCUGCUCCCAAGGUCCGCAGCACUGAGCCUCCCCGGGUCCUUCCCUCCACCAGUGGGGCACAACCCGGCUGCCGUCAGCCCCACGCACAGCACCGGCACAGCCCGCGCAUCCCCGCGACAGCAGAGGAGAAACAUGAGGCCACGUGGCACACGAGGGUCUUCACUAGAUAGUCACCAGAAAACAACCAACAACUCAACAGCAACUCAGUUUUCUCCCUUUUUUUGUGUUUUCUUGAAAAUUAAUUAUCUCUUCUAUUGUCAUUUUUUAGAAUGUUUUUCUCCUAGAUCUCCACCAUGUCACUUAGCUACACACAGACGCACGUGCACGAACCCAUAAGCAGUUUUCUGCAGCUCCGUGGCAGGCAAAGAGCCGCUGGAUACGCACAGAAACAGCAGCUCCUGAGCCCGGGGAGCCCGGCGAGGUGGCCGAGCUCGCUGCAGACCUCAGCCCCGCCAAGCCUGACUUGCUCUGAGGAGACUGUCACGCCUCCAGAGUCCUCGUUACACUGGAGGAAGCAAGAGAAAUCCUGCGCUGCUGUCACGGCUGGUGGCAACAGCCCGGCGGGGGCUGCGGGGCCGAGCCGCGGUUCUCAGCUGGCGCGGGGACGCGAGCGGCGCUGGAUGGUGGCUCUGACCCCUCUGAGCCACCGCAGGACGCAGCCCUGGCAGCGUGGCCAGAGCACAUGUCAUCCCUGCUGCAAUCCUGCUUCUUGGCCUGUUUUCUGAUAAAUAACCUUUUCCUGUC